UGCGUAGGCGGUGCGGUAAGUCUUCUGUGAAACCUCCGGGCUUAACUCGGAGCCUGCAGAGGAAACUGCCGUGCUGGAGUAUGGGAGAGGUGAGUGGAAUUCCCGGUGUAGCGGUGAAAUGAGUAGAUAUCGGGAGGAACACCUGUGGCGAAAGCGGCUCACUGGACCAUUACUGACGCUGAUGCACGAAAGCUAGGGGAGCAAACAGGAUUAGAUACCCUGGUAGUCCUAGCCCUAAACUAUGAUCGCUUGGUGUGACAGGUACCCAAUCCUGUCGUGCCGGAGCUAACGCGUUAAGCGAUCCGCCUGGGGAGUACGGUCGCAAGGCUGAA
This 332-nucleotide ribosomal RNA is filed under the name uncultured bacterium. RNAcentral's name for it is "bacterial SSU rRNA". It matches the Rfam family "Bacterial small subunit ribosomal RNA", at positions 568 to 898 of the family's 1533-position model. The record is from RNAcentral.